AGGCUUAACACAUGCAAGUCGAGGGGCAGCAUGGUCUUAGCUUGCUAAGACUGAUGGCGACCGGCGCACGGGUGAGUAACACGUAUCCAACCUGCCGUCUACUCUUGGACAGCCUUCUGAAAGGAAGAUUAAUACAAGAUGGCAUCAUGAGUCCGCAUGUUCACAUGAUUAAAGAUAUUCCGGUAGACGAUGGGGAUGCGUUCCAUUAGAUGGUAGGCGGGGUAACGGCCCACCUAGUCUUCGAUGGAUAGGGGUUCUGAGAGGAAGGUCCCCCACAUUGGAACUGAGACACGGUCCAAACUCCUACGGGAGGCAGCAGUGAGGAAUAUUGGUCAAUGGGCGAGAGCCUGAACCAGCCAAGUAGCGUGAAGGAUGACUGCCCUAUGGGUUGUAAACUUCUUUUAUAAAGGAAUAAAGUCGGGUAUGGAUACCCGUUUGCAUGUACUUUAUGAAUAAGGAUCGGCUAACUCCGUGCCAGCAGCCGCGGUAAUACGGAGGAUCCGAGCGUUAUCGAUUAUUGGUUAAGGGUAGAUGGGGAAUUGUUUAUAGUCAUUGUGAAAGUUUGCAGGCUCAACCGUAAAUGCAGUUGAUACUGGAUAUCUUGAGUGCAGUUGAGGCAGGCGGAAUUCGUGGUGUAGCGGUGAAUGCUUAGAUAUCACGA
RNAcentral lists this ribosomal RNA (661 nucleotides) under uncultured Bacteroidales bacterium. Its description in RNAcentral is "bacterial SSU rRNA". It matches the Rfam family "Bacterial small subunit ribosomal RNA", at positions 44 to 702 of the family's 1533-position model. The record is from RNAcentral. Lineage: Bacteria; Pseudomonadati; Bacteroidota; Bacteroidia; Bacteroidales.